This 253-nucleotide ribosomal RNA is filed under the name uncultured bacterium. RNAcentral's name for it is "partial 16S ribosomal RNA". It matches the Rfam family "Bacterial small subunit ribosomal RNA", at positions 524 to 776 of the family's 1533-position model. The record is from RNAcentral.
UACAGAGGUCUCAAGCGUUGUUCGGAUUCAUUGGGCGUCAAGGGUGCGUAGGUGGCGCCGUAAGUCAGGUGUGAAAUUUCGGAGCUUAACUCCGAAACUGCAUUUGAUACUGCGGUGCUUGAGGACUGGAGAGGAGACUGGAAUUCACGGUGUAGCAGUGAAAUGCGUAGAUAUCGUGAGGAAGACCAGUGGCGAAGGCGGGUCUCUGGACAGUUCCUGACACUGAGGCACGAAGGCCAGGGGAGCAAACGGG